AAAAUUCCGUGAAUAGUGUAGCUAAAAUAAUCAAAAUACCGAAUAUAUGGGGGCUAUACGAAGACGUGGACCUGUGCAGACAGCUUUCUGUCUUAGGAUAUAGUAUCCAUAGCGAACUUCAAAUAUCAAAUUUUAAAUAAUUUCGGUGAAUAAUAUCGGUAAAAUCAACAAAAUACCGAAUAUCGGGGAUGCUGUUAUAUGAGGGCUAUACGAAGACGUGGACACAGACAAUUUUCUGUCAUAGGCUGUAAUAUCUCUUACGAACUUCAAAUACCAUAUUUGAAACAAUUCCGGUGAAUAAAGUCGCCAAAAUCAUCAAACUAUCGAUUAUCGGGAGGUGCCGUCAUAUGGUUGCAAUAAAAUGUCCAUGCCAUUGUAAUGGCCCAGUUUGAAUAUCCAAAGUUCUGCAGACAUAAUAUACAUUUGAGUAAAAUUUUAUCAACCAUCUUCAUUUUGUUCGGAAGCUAGAGUGAUUUCCACAGACGGACGUACAUCGCUAAAUCGACAUAGAAUUUUAUGUUGAUCAAGAAUAUAUAUACUUGGUGGGGUCUAAAAUUUAUAUUUCGAGGUCUUACAAACGGAAUGACAAACUUAAUAUACCCUCCAUUCUAUGGUGAAGGGUAUAAAAAUGAGACUUAAUGAACAUUUUCGUGUAAAUUGUUGAAUAUUAAGAUCGAAAUAUUUUGUGAGUAGCCGGCCUUUGUCUAAAUAAUAAUUAUAUAAUUAUUAUCUUUUUUUAAUUAAUAUGUAGUUUUAAUAAGUUGCAACAAUGGGGAUUCAGAUCCCAGAAGAUGAUCGACAAUCGAAAUAUUGGAUAAAAUAAAGAGAAAACAGGAAACAACUAAAUAAAAUAGGUUUAUUGACCUUCAGCCGAAUUAAGAAGGUAAAGUCAUGCAAUCAUAUCUUUACAAUUUGUUCAAAAUUAUUCAUUUGACAACAUCUCAUUGUCAAAAUUUAUAUUUUAAAAUCCAUUGUAUGUACACAAAUCAGAGGUGGGAGCCUUUUUUCGAAGUAGUGAAAUUUGAUAAGGUAAAUUACAGAAAAUGUAGAGAUAAAUAUGCUUAUCUGAAAUGACUUUACCUUCUUAAUUUUACAAUCAGCCGAACCAUCAUCAAACAUAUUAAAUUGGAAAAAUUUUGUCUUAUAAGAUGCAUCAACAGAAACUUGGCCAGUUCUGUUCCGAAAAACAGUUCUUAUUUUUAAUUCUUGUAAAAAAUGGCUUGUUUCCAAAUAAAGGAAUUUGAGGCGUUCAGUGAAGGUCCGUACUAAAGGCCUCUACAAGACGAAUUGUAUGAAUUAUGCUUUUUUCGACACACUGACUUUGUCUACUCAAUCAUGCGCUAUGUAUUUGAUAGACAAUGACAACCAACAACAUCCCCCAUUUUGAUUCAUGUGUGUCAUUGUCUAAGGUUCGAUCGUGGCAUGCCUGACUCGAAUAUUUGCAUGGUGUUCUCCAUAAAUGCAGUGUGUGGUCGAUGACAUCGAACCGUGUCAUCGUCAAAUUGUGUGUCAUUUGUGUACGUGUGCUUAAAUUGAGAGAGUGUGUGUUACUUUCGACGGUGAGGGAGUGUUUUUGUGUGUGCUGUAAUUUUGAAGUAACAAACACCGCGUAAAUAUAAAAUUGGGUUCAAUAAAAAAUUGUGCAUAGACAUCAACAAAUGAAUAGAAAAAAAUUAAAUAUAUACUGAACAAUCCCAAUUUAUUGGUGAUUAUCAUAAAAUUUUGGUCAUAAAAGGAGGUAAAUAUUGUUUGCCUAUUUUUUUUAUCUACAUGUAGUGUUCUUUUAAAAUGAAAGUUUGUUGGCAGAGAUUAGAAUCUCAUUCAAUAACAGAAUUGAACAAUAGAAGUAUAUAUAGUGUUGUUACGGGAAUUACAGUGGCACUCAUUCCCCGUUACACCUCAAUACCGGAAGCAAACAUUUAUGAAAUUAUAAUCAAAAUAAGAAAAUUUUUUUAUUUUAGAUUGUUUCGUCAAUAACGAAAUGUAAAAAUUUUGUGUAGACCAAUAAGAAGUACCUUUAAUAUUGUAGUAAUCGCCAAGGAAUUGUUUAUUACAAAAAAAUUAUUUUUUCACAUAUCGGAAAAGCAGGUUGCGAUUACGCUUUGCCUUUAUCACGUGUGUGUCUUUUUCGUUGGCAAUUGUUUCAUAUUUGUUGUUGUUUUUUUGAUAGAACAUUUUUGUAUGACACACUAUUCAACAUUUCCUUGUAUUGGUCAUUACAUGUUAUGAAAAUGGGUUUGAGUGUGACCGACAUGACGAGACAUCGAACAUUUGGUUGAAUGUCACGUACUGUUAUGCGUUUGAUCAAACAGGGCUCAACAUGACGAGCGUUUUCUCUGCAUGGCAUAAAUAGAGAAAAUUGUCACAUUUGCAGCCCUUUAGUCCGUACCCUCGUGGAGAAGACCCGAACCAGAUUGGUGAAUAAAUGCGUGUAUUCUAAGUAGUGAAAUUUGAUAAGGUAAAUUACAGAAAAUGUAGAGAUAAAUAUGCUUAUCUGAAAUAACUUUACCUUCUUAAUUUUACAAACAGCCGAACCAUCAUCAAACAUAUUAAAUUGGAAAAACUUUUGUUUUAUAAGAUGCAUCAACAGAAACUUGGCCAGUUCUGUUCCGAACAAAAACAGUUCUUAUUUUUAAUUCUUGUAAAAAAUGGCUUGUUUCCAAAUAAAGGAAUUUGAGGCGUUCAGUGAAGGUCUGUAGCCUCGUGGAGAAGACCCGAACCAGAUUGGUGAAUAAAUGCGUGUAUAUUAGUCUUUUCUGAUUCUUGUUUGGAAGUUGAGUCAACUUUGCGUUCGUGGAAGUUUAUGUGAAUAACAUAUUGUACAUAAGCUAGGAAGCGCUGGAUUGAUGAUGAUUGGUGCAUUCUCAAGAAGUAUUCCCCAAUGGUCGUGGGCAAACAAAGUUCUGGGAUGAAAAUCACUGGCGAUUCUAUAAAGCUAAAACUUUUGCGAUUUUUUUCCAAUUUUUUGUUCUACAAAAAGAUUAAAUGUGGUUUUUAUUUGGUUUAAAAUUAGCUGGUUGGGGAAAAUUGAAAUCUUAAUCCAAGGUAGUCAUUUUUAUUAAGCUAAGCCGUUCUUUUUAGCAACGUAACAAAUAUUCGUAAAUGUUAAUUCUCAGCCAUUUCGCAAAUUGCUUCAACGAUCUUUUUUUUAAUCUAAUGGAUACCUGGGAUCAUACAAAAAGGCGUAUUUUGGAUGGAAAGAAACAGAAAACAUGAAAGGAAAAUCAGAUAUUACGGAUCGUUACGAGAAUGAAAGGAUGCAAAAGAUAUUUUUCAAACAAUUUAAACAAAUGUCUCAAUAAAUGCAAGAAAAAAAUUGGAGAUAGAAGAAAAAACCCCGAAAUAUAUCUAAUCUGCAAAUUAAAACAUUACAUUUUUGCUACAAUUGCUUGUAAUCAAAUAACGAUAACUACAAACCUAGAACCAAGUACUAUCACUACUUUGAAGGACUCUCCUUUUCACUUCAUGUCUCUGGCUUGCAAGUAUUGCUUUCUCACUUUGAGAUCCAAAUGGAACCCUAGCUUUUACAUGCAUGUCUGGGCUUCAGUUCAAAGACCAUUCCUUCAAAUCUACAACCAGAAAUCACAACUUCUAAGUUUAACCCAUACUCUUUGGAAUGGAUAUAGGACUAUUAAUAUUAAGACUUGGAACUCUGAUGAAAUCAUUUAGAUCAAUUUUAACUCAAAAAACCAAAUUUUGAUAGACAGUUGGAGGAUGGACGGAUAUGUCAUGAUUAGGGAAUUAGAGAAUCAUCCUGUAUAAAAAAACAAUAUGAUGCCUCAAUACUUUAAUACUUAGAACUUGGUCAUUUGCAGAAAAUCAGUCCAAAUGAAGAAGGGAAUCACUAUAUGUCGGUUCACAGUCAUAAAGCUCAACCGUCUCACAACGACAUACGAAGUAAAAUUUAACGCUUAUAGUCCCUCAUCAAAAAAAGACAGUUUUAACGACAUUCGCCAACAGGUUUUUAUACUACGAAAAUUAAAAUGGAUUCUAUUAAUACGCCUUUCAUGCAGAUAUCACAAAAAUGUAUCAAAAAGCAUUAGAUUCACAUCAAACAUAAUGUCAUGGUAUUCUCUUUAGGCAGUCACAGUAGAGGAUAAUGAAUCAAUCAGUCACGUUUGGAGUUAACUGUGCACAUUUAGCAUUUAAAACACUUUUGAAACUAGAAAAACUAUUAGCUUGUGGAAUAGGAAUUAAUCAAGGGCUGAAAGGAGUUAACAUCCGUUUUUGACUCUGCUGGAUUUACACUUAUGAAAUUGGCGUAAAACAGUUACUACUACUAAUUUGAUCAGGCCAAUAGAAAAUAACCCAAAUGAAGUAGUAUAGUUUUGUCAUAAAUAGCAAAGUAAUUGGAUAUCUCUUGUAGCUUCAAUUAAAAAACUGCUGUCAUCCAGCCUUGAAUUAUGUGGGCAAGUUUUAAUGUCCAAAUUAGUUAAUUCCAUUGUAUAUAGUAUACAAAUACUCAACACAAAGCCUGCUUGCUUCAAUUAACCUUUAUUGGAAGUAGUCUUGGAAAUUUCUGUUCGUCUGACCAACGUAUGUCCGUAUUCUGCCAAUUUGUUUGGCAGUUUUUUUUCUUUUGUUGUAGAGUUUUUUCUCUCUUGAUUGUCUGCUAACAUUUGUAGUAAAUACCGAGUUUGCCCCAUAUAUAAUAUAUAACAACAAAUAAAUAGACCUAUAAUAUCUAGAGUGGUCACAAAAACCUUCCUGGUCAUUUGUUAUACCUUCCUCAAACUUUAUUAGAGACGUCAUAGGGUUAAGGCAUGAACUUCAAGAUAUCAUUGACGGUUUACGGAAAUCCGAUGACGUCCGUCACUUAUGCAAGGGAGGAAUUAACACCGUUUAGUAGAACCACCCUACUGUUUCGCUGGUACUCAAACAUCAGUCCAGCGAACUCAACCUUCAGCGACAGUAUCAUAUUACAUUCGGCUAUGGUAGUGACUUGUAGAUAACACAGCAGUUGUGCACAAGUGUCGUGACAACGCCGUAUCGGUUAGUCGAAAGUAAUAAAUCAAGUGUGAGGCUGAAAGUGUUCAAAUAAAAUAGUUCUGUUUAAAAAAUGUCUUCGUGUUUUCCGCAAAAAAUAAUCGAGAGUUAGGUAUUCUCAGCUUCUUAAAAUUUAUAAUGAACUGUGUUCUUAACUUGAUUAAGCUAUGGCGUUCACCAGCGAAAAGCUAAAAGCAAUCGUGGAAUGCGCCGUAGGAGGUACGUUCGCGACGCAAAAGCAGAGCUUUAAUCAACAGCGACUAGAAGUUAGGGAAGAACUCCGAGAAACAGUCAUACCUACCCCUGAAGUGGAAACCUAUAUAUAGAUAAGAUUAAGUAUCUCGUCAUGAAAAAUACGAUGGCAGUUCCAAGCAUUACGAGGCCUUAGGCAUAAUGUGGAACAAAAUUACGAGUUCAGUGGAUAUGACAAUUUCAUUCUUUGACACCCCUCUCAAUAUUAGGGGUAUUAUAUUAUAAUAAAUAGGUCAGAUAUCACAUACGAAUUAGAUAAGAAAUUAACUCUACCUAUAAAUAAAAUCAUCAUGACAUACGACAGCAAAGUAAUUGCGUCUUUGAUUGAGAAAUAUAGGGCAGAAGUAGUAGGGAUCUGGGGGAGGAAGUGGCAAAUGCUAUAAAAUUUUACGACCUUAGACUUCCGUUUGCAAACCAUGUAUUGGAAGUUUUAUACCCAUCAUAAAUUAGUUGUGAAACAAUUAGAAACAAAUUUGUCUCGAGUUGUUGUUUUUCCUAAUAUGUUAGGGGGACACAUCCCUACAGUCGGAUGCGCGUUUGAUCCCUACAUUCAGCCAUUAUCAUCACUUGAGGGUAAUUAAUGGAAAAUGUAAUGAGACUCAUAUUUUGAUUUUUUUAUUUUUUGUGUUUUGUUUUUUUUUUUUUUUGUUAAUGUUUGAAGAGCUGUUUGUGUGUGUUGUUUGGUUUUUUCUUAAGCCAGCCCUCACUUGGUAUCAUCUAAUCUGUACCACUUGUUCCACAAAAGUUAUAAAAAAUGUACUUGAAAAAAUUAUAAAGAAUGUACUUGAAAUUAUUUUAGCUCACUACAUUUAAUCCAUAUGGGAAAUCUGUUAAAAAUUAUUUUUGACGGCUAGAUGUAAGAAGUUAUUUGUAAAAUUUUAAGAAUUAAUGAGGCAUUCUGAUCUUAGAUAUCCCAGUAUCCCAAAUGUACUUGUUGUAUUUUUGAAGAUCUAGGAUGAAAAAUAUUUUGAAAAUAUACAUAUGUGUCUGUUAGUGGAAGGUUCUUAGGUUUUCUAUAGAAAUGACUAGUGUUAAUAUAGUACAGAGUUUUUUUUAAAUAGCUUUAGUAUAAAAUAAGAAAUUCAAUCGCAAGCAUCAACCCCAAAUUUUUCCAAAUCAAAAUGGCACGACAUUUUUGCGAAUUUUGCUAUGAAACGUUCACUAUUAAAAACGAAUAUUUAAGGCACAUUAAAAAGCAUUGCCCCGGCUGUGGACAUUUUUCUAAUAAUAAUACAUAUCAAUUAAAAUUUCACCAAAAAAAUAUAGAUGUCCUCCUAUGUAAAAUCAGCCAUCUAUUUACUCAAGAUUACAUAAUAGUGAAUAUGCAAAUUGCAAUAGUGUAACCCUAUCACCAAGCGGAAUCAAUUUAUAGUAGACCAAUUCACACGCAAUGGUCAUAACAUUCCCCAAACGUCUGCACAAGGUGAAUUGACACAGCAACCAUCAUGUAUUCCAUCCCAACAAAGUGAAGGUGGAAACAAAUUCUGCAAUAAGUGCCAUAAAGCGGUGCGACAUAUGUCGGCUCACCUUCGCAGUGAUGAACAUCAAAUUGCAAUUAGAAAAAUUUUUGGUGAAAAUGUGAACAUUUUUAAAAACUCUUUUGGCGAAAACACACAUAUUGAUUAUGGAUAUGUCAGGGUUAUUACGUUCACAAUUGACAGCACAUAAAGCUAGAUCAAUCAUUUGUAAUGGUUGCAUACAAAGUUUCACAACGGAAGCCGUAUAUGAGGAACAUCAGAAGGAGUGUGUUGGGGUCGUAACGGAGAUGUCAAAAGAGGGAGAAAACAUCAUUCGUUUUAAAAACUACCACAAAAAAGAGAGAGUACCAUUUGUGGUCUGUACGGAUGCCGAAUGUAUCCGGAGAACCUCAUCACGAACACAGUUACGGUAAAAAGCACAUUCCUUACGCAUUUAGUUUUUAUAUAAAAUGAAGUUUUAAUGAAAUUUUAAAUUUUAUAUUUAUUGUGACCCCGAAAAACUUUUUAGAAAAUCGAAUACGGGAUUGUAAGUUUAUUUACAACUCGUAUUUGUCAAAAACGGUACCAAUGAUUUCUUUGACUCAGAAGGAAUUAGAUAACUUUAUUAGCAGUAGUGUGUGUCACAUUUGUGAAAAAGCCUUGGGUAAUGACCUAGUUAAGGAUCAUUGCCAUUUAACCGGAAAAUAUCCGGGGGCGGCACACAAUGAAUGCAAUCUCAAAUAUCGUGUGUCAAAAUUUAUACCAAUAUUCUUUCACAAUUUUUCCAAAUACGAUUGCCAUUUAUUCUACAAAGAAUUAAUGCAGUGUGAUGGAGACAUUGAUGUAAUUCCUUUAAAUAAGGAAUUAUAUUUUCAACGUCAUUUUUUAUUAACAUGAAAAAUGAUUUAAAUGAAAUGGCGGUGAAUUCAAAAAACCAAUGGUGGAAUAAAUUUGAACUAAGUUUCUUGGACAGUUUUCGUUUUAUGUCUUCCAGUUUGGAUAGUUUAGCUAAAAAUCUACCUAAAAACGCAUUUCAAGCUGUUCGUACACAGUUUCCAAAUGAUGCUGAGUUCAACGUGUCUUCAUUAAACAAAUUAUAUGAACGACAAUUGCCGGAUCGAAAUGAAUUUUACAACAGUUUGACUGAUAGUGAGUGUUCGUUAGAUGAUUAUAGACAUGCGCAGAAUGUAUGGAGUCACUUUGAAUGUCAAACUGUCAAAGAGUAUACAGAGUUGUAUUUAAAAACAGAUGUCUUACUAUUGGCAAAUGUGUUCGAAAACUUUCGAAGUUUAUGCCCCCGUCACCAUGGACUUCAUCCUUGCCAGUAUUUUAUAGUACCAUCACUAUCUUGGGAUGUCAUGUUUUUGUGUACGGGUGUUGAAUUAGAGCUAACUACAGAUAUUAACAUGUAUAAUUUCUGUAAGAAUGGCAUUGAAGGUGGACUUACACAAUGUUCAAAUAGACACUCGGUAGCCAGUAUUAAACACUCUGCAGACUAUGACCCUAGUAAACCCGAGGUGAAUAUUUAUAACUUAGACGUCAACAAUUUAUAUGGUAAAGCAAUGACACAAUGCUUGUUUUAAGUUUUUAACUCAAGAAGACUUGGAACAAUUCAAUAACGUCAGUAAAAUAUUGGCGAUUCCUAAUGAUUCACCAACUGGUUAUUUUUUUAAUAUGGAUUUAGAAUAUCCACAAAAUCUACAUGACAAACACAAUGAUUUACCCUUUUGUCCUGAAUCCAAAUGUGUCGGUGGUUGCAAGAUCAAAAAGUUGAUUGCAGAUUUGAAUGACAAAAUGUCUUACACCAUUGAUUAUAGAGUGCUUCAAAAAUGUAUCCAGCAUAACUUAAUUCUUAAAAAGUCAAUAGCUGUUUACAGUUUACGCAAUCUAACUGGCUUGCAGCAUACAUAAUGAUGAACAAUUCUGUUUAUGGCAAAACAAUUGAAAAUGUGAACAAAAGGAAAAUCGUUGAAAUAAGAAACCAUUGGGAAUCUUAUGGGAAGCCCUGGGGGCACGGGAUUUCAUCCCAAUUUUCAUAGUUUAACACACUUUGCAGAUGGUGGCAAUUCAAAUGAACAAAGUGAGUGUGAAGUAUGAUGGAUUUUGUAUUUUAGAGUUAUCAAAAUGGGUCAUGUACGAUUUCCUCUAUGAUUUUUUAAAAGUAAAGUUUGGUUAUGACUUUAUUUUAAAUUAUAUGGAUACUGAUUCCUUCAUACUAACUUUCACUAACCGCAAGCUCUUUGCCGAACUAUCACGAGAGGAUAUUAUGGCUGGAUUUGACACGUCAGAUUCUUCGCCAUCCAACCCAUAUAAUAUACCAAUUCUCAAUAAAAAAAAGUAAUUGGAAUGAUGAAGGACGAGAACUGCGGAAAGACGGUAUCGGAAUUUGUAGGCCUUAGGCCAAUAAAGUACGCUAUAAAAGUCCACAAUAGUGAAGAGGUAAAGAAAUCAAAGGGUGUUAAAAAAUCAGUUUCGAAGCAGUACACCAUCGACACGUAUAGGAAUUGUCUGUACAAUAAAAUGAAAUAUUACAAUAGUAUAUAUACAUUUAGAUCGAGGAAACAUGAAAUAUAUACAGACAAUAUAAUUAAUAUAAUAAAAACAAUUUUUGUAAUGAUGUUAUAGAUUUAGAAAAUAUAUAUAGAACUAGAUGUAGAUAUAAGUAACAUACCCCCUGUAAAUACAAUAGACAUUCCUUUAGACGGGGAUGACAACUCUAUUUUUGAAUUGUUGAAAAUGACUUUGUAAAUAUAUAAAACAAUUUGUAUAUAUUUAAUGAAACAUUUAUUGCUUAAAAAUAAAAAAACAAUCAAACAUUUAUUUUUAUUUCACAAAUAUACUUAAUUUUAAGACAUGGAAGCAUAAAUUACUUAUACAGCUCUUCGAACAAUUCCGGUUAAAGGUAUGUAUUCCACCAGUCGGUCAUGAAUGAUUAGACAAUAUGAUGAGGUAUUUUGAGAUAUUGGAAUAUUGGUGGUAAAUUCGAUUUUAAAAUCAAUCGGUUCAAUUUUUACAGCUUCAUUUUGAUUGCUUAUAUCAAUAACGGUAAUUGGAUUAUGUUUAAAAGUAGUGUAUGUUAGAAGCGGAUGUGGCUCACUCAUAUAAUAUGUUUGUAGAAACUUGGUAUACAUAUCAUAAAGUAUUACAUAACGAUUUUCUGAGAACUUAAGAUUUAAAUCAUCAUAAGGAUAAGUCUCAGAAUUCAAGUGUACUUUCAUGUUUUCAAGAUCACAAUGAAUCAAUUUGUUGUCCCUUUCAAACACUAACGCAACAUAUCGCGGUCUUUCGUGACUGGCAGACAUUUUAACACACAAUUAUGUUUUAAACCAACAGAAAAAGUUGGAUUAAAAUAACAAUCCCAACUUCCUUAAUAGCUUUCAGGAAACUAAUUUCUCUAUAAUCAGACAAAUUAAUAUGUUGAACUUUCCACACAAUAUUUGUAAUUGUUAGUCGAGUCAGUUGAAUGUAAUUAUCGCUCGCAAGAGAAUAUUGUUUCCCACACAAUUAUGCCUCAGUCUAGCGUUUGAUGAAAUUUCUCCGUUUGCUUUUCUCAAAUGCCCUUCAAUGUACAAAUAGCUUUCUAGUGGUAAUAUGUAUAAAUCUUGGUUUUGAAUGCUGAUACAUAUUUUAUCAUUAUUUUUAAAUGAUUGAACAUAAGGUACAUAUCUGUGGUAGUCCCACUUUACGAUAUUCUCAUCAGAGAAUGGCCUUUCAUUUAUAUUAAUAACUUAAGACAUAGGGUUUUAUUUUAAUUUAAGUAAUUUCAAAAACUCUUUAUUUUCUUUAGAUAGAAAUGGGUUUGUCGGUUUGACAACUUUAGUGUGAAUGUUUGGAGUUUGUUUAUAAUUGCCUUGGUCUUAUAUGAAUUCGAAGUGUGAUUUCCUCACCACGAUCAAUCAAUCGACCUUCUUGAUCUAGUAUUAAUAUUUUAAGACAACUAAUUUCCUUGACGUUCAAAGGCAAAUAAAUAAGGUUCAAUGGUCUUUCAUCCAAUUUAUAGCCUGGAGGAACAUCUAUAGAAAAUUCGUGAAGAAUAUGUGCAGGUGAGUUGUUCAUAAAUGAUCCAGUUACUGUGUUGCAUUGUAUUUGAACAGCAUUCACCUUCAAAAUAUUUACUGGAAGGUUAGAUAUGUGCCUUUUCCCCGGCUUCAAAACUUUGUCUGUGAAACCAAAGAGUUUGAGAAAUCUAUAUUUCUCCUUAUUGAAAUAAACAGGAUCAUAAGAAGAUGUAAUUCCUAUUUGUAAUAUAUUAUUAUUGGCUUUAAUAUCUAUAGAUCUAUUAGAGCUGUACUCGGUUUCCAAAAAGUCUGCAAUAUCUUGCAAUUCAUAUGAUCCUAUAGAUAUUUUUAUUGUAUCAUCUCCAAUAUGAUUAUUAUCCUCAUCCACAUUAGAAAUUGAAUUGUACGAUUGGAAAUCAAUUAAACUACACUCGUAAUCAGUAUCACCCAAUUCAAUGGGUGGUGAAUAAUUUGAGCAUAAAACUGAAUUACUACCCGGCAAAGUAAACGUUCUUGACAUUGCAAGAUUCUAUGUUGUAAUAUAUAAUACAUAACCGAAUCUGACACUUUCAUAUUUUAUUGUUAAAAAAUUAUUACAAAACAUUAUUUUUAUUUAUCCACGAAUUAUUCCGAUUUGAGAACCCCAACCAUUUCACAUAAACUUUGUCAUUCUUUGAUUUUAGAAUUUUCUCCACCAAAUAUGUGUUUGGAUAUUUUGUAGGUAAAAGUUCUUCUCUAUAAAAACAUCCUUGUAUUGAAUUUCCUUCAAAAUCUUCGAGCAGAUAUGUAGGGGUUGGUUAUUCUUAUCCUUUUUGUUCUAAAAAUUUCGGUUGUCCAGUUUGGAGUAUAACCCUUUUCAAAAUGAUGUUUAUAUUUGCUGAUGCGUACGCGAUCACCGACAUGAAGGUGUGAUUUUUUUUAAAAGAUUUUUAUAUAACUCUAAACAGAUCUCAGCAGUAAUUUCUAGUUUGAGGAAUUCACUUGUAUUGUAUUAAAUCCCUAUAGAGUUUGAUCCAUAGAUAAUUUCUUUUAUGACUAAAUUCUUUCCACAUCAUUCCUUUUAGGAUUCUAUUGAACCGUUCAACAAUUGAUGCUUUCAAUACACUGCAUGUAGAAUAAAGAUUUUGUUCUAUAUUUAUGCAUAAGCUCGCCAAAUGUUUUACUAAAAAUUCUUUCUCAUCACAAGUUUGCAAAUUCUUGGGAAUUCGUCCGAUUUUCAAUAUUUUUUUCAAAUGCUGCACAAACUUCUAAGGCAUUUUUAGAUUUGAACGCUUCAGCCCAUGCAUAUUUUGAAAAAGUAUCAAUCACUGUUAGCAUAAACCUGUAUCCCAUGUUUGCUUUAGAAUAUUUGCCCAUUUCAACUAAAUCAGCUUGCCAUAGAUCGUCAAUUCCCUUUACAAUGACCCUCGGCCUUUCAAUUUUUUUCUUGCCUGAGUGUGAAGUUCAUUCCCUAUUCCUCGUUACUCCAUCUUUUAUUUAAUCUAUUAUCUCACAGUGUAUGAGUAAAUGUAGUUAUCGAUAAAAGGUCAUAAAGUUCGUUUAACGAGUGUUUUAAACGCGAUAUUUCUUCUCUUAUAUCAGAACUAUCAAUUCUUCUAUCCAUUUCAUUAGGAUCGCCCCGUAUAUAUAGUUGGGUUUAUCGAGAUUUACUCUCAUUAGGCCUUUGCCGCUGUGAGUAUCAUCUAUCAAGUGUUUUAUAACACGUUUAUAUUUAUAUCCUCUGUUGGAUUUCAUUCGUUCAUUAUGUUUAUAGUUUACUUUAUAUGCAUUAGAGUCCAGCAAAAUUUUUUAAAUAUUUCUAAUUCUGAAGCGUCAUAAUAGAUAAUAAUAGACCCGGUGUAAAUGCCCAAUGUUGAUUUCCAAUAAUUAUUUUUUGAUCAUCAACUUUGAAUGGUUUGUCUCCAAAUUCCGCUCUCCGUUAAGAUCUUUGUGUGAUAAAAGAGAAAGGUCAACGGUAUUAUCAUUGUCCGUAUAAAAUGUGUCGUCUCUUAAAUCUGACUCAUCGUUUUCCCCACAUUUUAGGUUCUGGCUUAAUAUCGUGUUUAAAUUUGUUAACGGGUGUACUCAUAGUAAAAUAAUUUCUAUAUGAUUCAAUAUUUUUCUUCUUAGGUACUUGGGGAUUGAAUGCAUUAUCAUUCGUUAGUUUUAAUAGUUUAUGGCUCGUUUUUAUAUCUUCCCUUUAUAGUCCACUUUUGUUAUCCCUUACUUUAUGAAAAGUGAAGGAUAAAGUUCACAUUAUGGGGAUUCAUUAUUACAUCCUCCCUUUAAAAUAAAUUUAUUUUUUGCAGAGAUAUGGCAAUUAAUUGCCCUCAACGAUUACUUUUUGUAAAUGUAACUGGUAGUCACUGCAUUUUUUUACAGUGGCAUCUUUAUUUUACAAAAUUAACAAAAAUUAACAGAACGAAUUUGUAUUAAUUUCGUAAAAUAAAUAUACAAUUAUUUCUGCAAAAAAAUAAAGCGAAAAUGGAUAACCAAAAGGAAACCAGUCACAGAAAACCAUAAGCAUAUUAUCGAGAAUAAAAAGUCAGAUUCCGUCGUUUGGAGAAGAAGCAGUCUGGAAGAAAAUUGAAGAUGAUUUUGCGGCCAGCAUGGAAUUACGACGACCUUGAAAAGCACUGCUUGAUAAAUACGAGGUUUUAAAACGCAAGUCGAAGAUUGAACUUGCAGAACAGAAGUUGCAAACAUAUCGUAAGGGUGGUGGAAUGGUGACUUGUAAAGUAUCUACUGUUUCGGAAAAAAUUGCGGCUUAACUCUAGUUUAGUAAAAACUCUUCAAUUUUUUUCGAAAGUUUUUCCAGUGGCUUGUAAAAUACGUAUGAUAGUGAUUUCGUGGUUGAACCUGAUUACAUUGACUACAGUGAGUUAAAUGCAUCUAAUGAAUUUAUUGAGGAAAGCAAUAAAGAAAAUGUAAGUUGCCUAAUAAUUACUCUGUUCCAGUACUCUCAAGAAUCUACUAGAAUUGCAAUUUUCUCCGAUAUCAUAAAGAGGAAGUCGGUUAUCGUGUAGUGAAAACUAUUACAUUCUUGCUGUUCUGGAACAGACCAAAUAUGUCAUUGCUGAAGGAAUACACUAUAUACCACACGUGAAAAAAGAUAUAUAUGUUGGUGAAAAAAUUCUUGACAAAACCCACGGGAAAUAUACGAGCAAGUUUCAAUAAAUACCAUUUUUUUGCCAAUAAAAGUGGAAUUUUACAUCGUUCCAUUAGCUAGGUAAUAUUCUAGAAGUAGAAAAAUUUUAAAUUAUUUGCUCUUACCGAUUUUUACGGGGUUUUGUUAAGGGGUCCCAAUUCUGUUAAAUGCUAAAACAACUCGAUGAAUAUUUCAACAGAAAGAAAGGUCAACCGACUUUUGCCCACAGACUUGAAAAAAGCCUAGAUCAAAAUAACUGGUUAACGGCGGCAAAAGAAAACGCAACCUAGAGGAAGAAAAACUUGAACUUGUUCUUUUACAACAGAGCUUUAACAGGAACGAGAAUAUUCGUGCCCAAGAGAAGCAUGAAAACGAUGAAAUGCGUGCUUAAAAAAAGAAUGAACACGAAAUAUCUUCAUUGAGACUGGAGAAUGAAAUUUUGCAGUUAGAGUUGGAGGAAAAGAGGUUAAAAUUUUUAGAGUAAUUCAAAUGUAUUUUAUAAUUGUAAAUGUAUUUUGUAAAUAUAAGCAAUAUUGUUAGCUUUUCAGCACUUAAAAGACUGAAAAUAGAAUAGAAAUUUUUAAAUAAAAACUGAAUUACAAUUCGAUUUAUCCAACUAAA
This is a long non-coding RNA of Musca domestica (house fly), 14441 nucleotides long. RefSeq lists it as uncharacterized. Lineage: Eukaryota; Metazoa; Arthropoda; Insecta; Diptera; Muscidae. The transcript is spliced from 5 exons. The record is from RefSeq and is a predicted model, not a curated record.